AAGGGGGAGAAGCCCCGGCACCUCCUGGGUGCGACUCCAAAUUUGCACUUUGG
This 53-nucleotide transfer RNA is filed under the name Sphaerodactylus macrolepis. Its description in RNAcentral is "partial tRNA-Cys". Lineage: Eukaryota; Metazoa; Chordata; Lepidosauria; Squamata; Sphaerodactylidae. The record is from RNAcentral.